This is a long non-coding RNA of Lineus longissimus, 569 nucleotides long. RefSeq lists it as uncharacterized. The record is from RefSeq and is a predicted model, not a curated record. The transcript has 2 exons. Lineage: Eukaryota; Metazoa; Nemertea; Pilidiophora; Heteronemertea; Lineidae.
CACAUGUCAUAUAUGUGUUUCGCUGCAAAGCAUUCUGGACGUCUACCAUGCAGCUUGCUCUAAAACAUCAUUAAACUAGAUAUACGUGUAACAGGAGACAGAAGAAAUACGAUGUUGAGCCGAUCAGUGAUCCUCGUGACUGUUCUGUUUACUGUUAAUCUUACUGAGGCCAGCGAGGACUUAGAAGACGCUUCUCGUGCGUUCGUUAAGAAAAGAAUCGACAGGCGGUCUGUGGCCUCGUGGUUCAGGAAUGGGUGGAAAAAAGUUGAGAAGUUUUUUAAGAAGCUACCGAAGCUCAAUUUGAAUAUAGACAUUGAUGCAAGCUUAAUACCACCAAAACCGCCUAGCAUAAUUAUCAGUGAUAAAGAAACUAACAUGAAGAAAACUACUUCAAAGUCGCAGAAGUCACAACUUUCAGCAAAUUCAUCCGUAACUGGGUCCUAAAAACACUUUUGAAAAUACAUAAAAAUAUGGAAAUGUGUUCCAUUUGUCUUCUUUUGAUGUGUAAGGUAGAUGAGCUGCUGCCUAUAACAUAAACGUGUCGUAACUUAUAACGCCACUAUCUACGA